UACGUAUGGGGCAAGCGUUAUCCGGAUUUACUGGGUGUAAAGGGGGCGCAGACGGCAGCGCAAGCCAGGAGUGAAAGCCCGGGGCCCAACCCCGGGACUGCUCUUGGAACUGCGCGGCUGGAGUGCAGGAGGGGCAGGCGGAAUUCCUGGUGUAGCGGUGAAAUGCGUAGAUAUCAGGAGGAACACCGGUGGCGAAGGCGGCCUGCUGGACUGCGACUGACGUUGAGGCCCGAAAGCGUGGGGAGCAAACAGG
This 253-nucleotide ribosomal RNA is filed under the name uncultured bacterium. RNAcentral's name for it is "partial 16S ribosomal RNA". It matches the Rfam family "Bacterial small subunit ribosomal RNA", at positions 524 to 776 of the family's 1533-position model. The record is from RNAcentral.